Molecule: ribosomal RNA, 492 nt
Filed under: uncultured bacterium
Lineage: Bacteria
Description: partial 16S ribosomal RNA
Rfam family: Bacterial small subunit ribosomal RNA
Source: RNAcentral
AGUGAACGCUGGCGGUAGGCCUAACACAUGCAAGUCGAACGGCAGCACAGUAAGAGCUUGCUCUUACGGGUGGCGAGUGGCGGACGGGUGAGGAAUACAUCGGAAUCUACUUUUUCGUGGGGGAUAACGUAGGGAAACUUACGCUAAUACCGCAUACGACCUACGGGUGAAAGCUGGGGAUCUUCGGACCUUGCGCGAUUGAAUGAGCCGAUGUCGGAUUAGCUAGUUGGCGGGGUAAAGGCCCACCAAGGCGACGAUCCGUAGCUGGUCUGAGAGGAUGAUCAGCCACACUGGAACUGAGACACGGUCCAGACUCCUACGGGAGGCAGCAGUGGGGAAUAUUGGACAAUGGGCGCAAGCCUGAUCCAGCCAUACCGCGUGGGUGAAGAAGGCCUUCGGGUUGUAAGGCCCUUUUGCUGGGAAAGAAAAGCAGCAGGUUAAUACCCCGCUGUUCUGACGGUACCCAAAGAAUAAGCACCGGCUAACUUCGUG